UCUCUCAUGAAGAGUGGGGAUGGCUAGAUUCUGUUCAGAGGGAUUUAUACAAGGAUGUGAUGGUCCAGAAUUAUGAGAACCUGGUCUCUCUAGGUCUUUCGAUACCUAAGCCAUAUGUGAUCACUUUAUUGGAGGAUGGGAAAGAGCCUUGGAUGGUGGA
Long non-coding RNA from Myotis davidii, 160 nucleotides. RefSeq lists it as uncharacterized. NCBI's taxonomy places the organism in Eukaryota, Metazoa, Chordata, Mammalia, Chiroptera, Vespertilionidae. The record is from RefSeq and is a predicted model, not a curated record. The transcript is spliced from 2 exons.